GACGAACGCUGGCGGCGUGCCUAAUACAUGCAAGUCGAGCGAAGAUUUUCUGGUGCUUGCACACGAAAAACUUAGAGGGGAACGGGUGAGUAACACGUUCAGCACCUGCCUCAUAGAUUGGGACGACAAUUGGAAACGAUUGCUAAUACCGGAUAACAGUAUUUUUCGCAUGAGAGAUAUUUAAAAGUUGUUUAUGCUAACAGUGUGAGAUGGCUUUGCGGUGCAUUAGUUAGUUUGUGGGGUAAAGGCCCACCAAGGCGACGAUGCAUAGCCGACCUGAGGGGGUGAUCGACCACACUGGGAGUGAGAGACGACCCAGCGUCCAACAGGAGGCAGAAGUAGAGAAGCUUGCGCAAUGGGCGGAAGCCUGACGGAGCAGAGCCGCGUUAGUGCAGAAGGAUUUCGUUUCGUAUGCCUCUGUUGUUAUUGAAGACUGGCUUCGUGGGAACCAUACAUGUUAGUGACGGUACCUAGCCAAAAAGCCACGGCUAACUACGUG
RNAcentral lists this ribosomal RNA (499 nucleotides) under uncultured bacterium. RNAcentral describes it as "partial 16S ribosomal RNA". It matches the Rfam family "Bacterial small subunit ribosomal RNA", at positions 28 to 507 of the family's 1533-position model. The record is from RNAcentral.